UUGCCCCCCCUUUUUUUUCCAGCCUAUGUCCUGCCCAAGCUGUACGUCAAGCUGCACUACUGCGUCAGCUGUGCCAUCCACAGUAAGGUGGUGAGGAACCGCUCACGGGAGGCCCGCAAGGACCGGACCCCCCGCCUCGCUUCAGGCCAGCGGGCGCAGCCCCACGGCCUCCCCCCAAGCCCAUGUAAGGAGAAGAUAUCUGGAAAUGUCCCUGGGCUGAAAAUGUCCCUGAGUUCAGUCUGAAUAAAGGACUUGAGACCAAA
Meleagris gallopavo (turkey) is the source of this 263-nucleotide non-coding RNA. The record is from RefSeq and is a predicted model, not a curated record. Lineage: Eukaryota; Metazoa; Chordata; Aves; Galliformes; Phasianidae.